AGAUAAGAAGCAAUGUAUUGCACCUAGUUUCGACCUAGGCUUAAGAGCCCCCCCCUCCUUAUCUA
This 65-nucleotide transfer RNA is filed under the name Histeroidea sp. 2 KM-2017. RNAcentral's name for it is "tRNA-Arg". The record is from RNAcentral. Lineage: Eukaryota; Metazoa; Arthropoda; Insecta; Coleoptera.